RNAcentral lists this ribosomal RNA (446 nucleotides) under uncultured bacterium. RNAcentral describes it as "partial 16S ribosomal RNA". It matches the Rfam family "Bacterial small subunit ribosomal RNA", at positions 338 to 795 of the family's 1533-position model. The record is from RNAcentral.
CCUACGGGAGGCAGCAGUCGAGAAUCAUUCACAAUGGGGGAAACCCUGAUGGUGCGACGCCGCGUGGGGGAAUGAAGGUCUUCGGAUUGUAAACCCCUGUCAUGUGGGAGCAAAUUAAAAAGAUAGUACCACAAGAGGAAGAGACGGCUAACUCUGUGCCAGCAGCCGCGGUAAUACAGAGGUCUCAAGCGUUGUUCGGAAUCACUGGGCGUAAAGCGUGCGGAGGCGGUUUCGUAAGUCGUGUGUGAAAGGCGCGUGCUCAACCCGCGGACGGCACAUGAUCCUGCGAGACUAGGUGAAUGGAGGGGGAACCGGAAUUCUCGGUGUAGCAGUGAAAUGCGUAGAUAUCGAGAGGAACACUCGUGGCGAAGGCGGGUUCCUGGACAUUAACUGACGCUGAGGCACGAAGGCCAGGGGAGCGAAAGGGAUUAGAUACCCUUGUAGUC